Molecule: long non-coding RNA, 959 nt
Organism: Branchiostoma belcheri (Belcher's lancelet)
Lineage: Eukaryota; Metazoa; Chordata; Leptocardii; Amphioxiformes; Branchiostomatidae
Exons: 2
Source: RefSeq, a predicted model, not a curated record
AAGCAGGCGGAAGCGGAGACCCGGAAACUGUAACAUGAUAACACAGGUCAUCGGCCUGUACCAAGAGCAAAUAGCUGCGGCGGGAGCGACUACAACUCCAAUGCUUGUUCCAGGAAAGAAUUAAGAAGACUUCAUUGUGUUAAUACUAUAAAACGCUUUAUUUUUUAACACUUGUGCUUGAUAAUCUUACUUGUGUAAAAGUGUGCUGACUUGCCACACCUACACACAGACUAGUGGGAUCGUCGGCUGAGUCGCUUGCCGCUUGAUGUUUCCAUUUUCAUAACGGGGGUCCUGAAUGGAGGAACGUCAACCUACCAGGCGAAUACUCCUCCAUAGUUUGCAGCUACUAUUAAGAUCAACUAUAAAGUAUAGGUACUUUUAUUUUUAUCAACAUAUGCAGAGUUUCAACAUGCUGUUUUAAGAUCAAAGGGACACACAUAAAAAUAAAGUAACUCGCGACAAUGGUUCACCCCAUUUUCCCGCCACUUGCGCUUGCCACAAUCACAGUGACAGAACGAUUCUGACAGAAUUUUUUUGAUGUGCAAGCUACGCUAUCAAGGUCUUAUCUACCAGAAUGAAACUGACUUUGCAGACAUUCCAUUACUGCUCUAACGCAGAGAAGCUGAUUGACAUGUUUGAGUGCGGGGAGACCCCGCCCCUCCGGGUACGGCCGUACCACCGCCCAGGUGCACCGAGGGCUGGGAUCAUGACCUCGGCAUUGGUCGACGGAGACUGGAUGCAAGUGGGGUGGGUCCGGGAAACCGACCGGCUGGCAGUUGAAGAGUUGUGCUCUGGAGCCGCUAUUGAAGACCUGGUUGUGAAGCUGAGGGAAGCUUACGUGAAGAGGGGGUUCUGCGUCCUGAAGCUUGACGUUUCCCUUCAGUAAUACCUAGUAAUAUACAUUGCAUUUCGUUUGUAUAAAUAUGUUCCCAAUAAAAUGGUUCUGUCAGUCUAGUAGC